Non-coding RNA from Phoenix dactylifera (date palm), 2667 nucleotides. The record is from RefSeq and is a predicted model, not a curated record. NCBI's taxonomy places the organism in Eukaryota, Viridiplantae, Streptophyta, Magnoliopsida, Arecales, Arecaceae.
UUUUAGGAUGUAUUCUCUCUCUAUUUAUAUAUCAAAGAGAAAAAAUAUAAAUAUAAAAAGAGAGAGUUCCUCCAUGUCCGAGAUCGAGCGAGCGAUAAAGGAAACAAAGGUGACGCCGGCAAAGACUCCGGCAGAUUCUGCGUUCGGAUCUCCACCGGAGAACCGUCCAAUCCACCACCGGACGCAAGCCUCCUCCAUCUCUGCCUCUUGCUUCUCCUCCGCCUCCCCCUCCCUAUCUCCUUUCGCCGCCCACCGAUUCUUCCCCUCCUCCACCAUCCCCUUCUCCUGGGAGCACCUCCCCAGCGUCCCUAAAAGCCCCAAAUCUCACUCCCCCACCUCCUCUUUUGCUGCCGACCCUCACAUCCUACUCCUCCCUUGCCCCCGCUCCGAUCCAAAUCGGACGUCCUCCGCUUCGACCCCGUCACCGUCAACAUCGACGCUGCCCGCCUCCGCUUCCUCCCCACCUCCGGCACUCCCAAUGCCACCGCGCACCCCCUCCUCCACCGCCAUCAGCUUCGUCGCCGUUCAGGAUUGAUGUAGCUGACCUCAAAACAGGUGGCAUAAGGCUUUUAUAUUUAUGGUGACUGAUGGUCAACUUUGCCUUCCAAUUUAAAAAGCUGUUCUAGUGUUAACCCUGUGGAUGUGUUUGUAGCUUUAAGUGUUGCUUUUCUGGUUGUCCCAAUCACCAUGCGACUAAGUUACUAUAUGUAGUUUCUAAGGAAUUAUUUGCCAUGUUGAGAAGAGCGCAUAUGAAGUCUUGGUGCUUCUUUGAUAUUUUUGCAGAUUAUUCUCCUCAUUUCCCCCAAUAUAACUGAUUUGAAAGAAGAGAAACUUCAGGAUUUUAUUAUGCUGCCUGAUUGUUAAAAGUUUGUUUUAUAAUGUUCAUCUUAUGUCAGAGUCGAGGGUAUCCUGAAUUCCGAUACACUAUUUCUAUUUUUGUUAUGGGAGCCCACUUAGCUCAGAGGUUGGAGCAUCGUAUUUGUAAUGCGAUGGUCAUCAGCUCAAUUCCAAUAGCCUUUUUUUUUUUUUUGGCUCUAUCGAAUUUUCCAUGAUCGAUAUUCUCUCUUUCGCUAAAAAGAUUGUGAGAGAGUGAUGGAAACUCUAACCCUGUCAAGGUGAUUUGUAUUUUGCUCCUCUUUUCUCCUUGCCUGCAAGGAUUUUAUUGUAUUCUUUCCUCCCUUUCUAAUAAAGACUGGUGGUCUGUGGCCUCCAUUUUAGUCAAUAAAAAUUGUACAUCUACAUAUAUUCUUCAUCUCAAGAUGUUCAUCUGAGACAUUGGCAGAGUUAUUGUCAUGCGAGGCCCAAGUCUCUGCAAUUUUGUUGAAUUGAGAGGGUACAAAUUUGUAUUCAGAAGGUAAUUUGAUGAAGAGGUAGUAAUUUCAGCCUACUGCUCUGACUGCUGCUGAUAUAUUGUCUGUUCAGAAGGCAGAUCUGUAUACCUUGCAACCUGGUGAUCAUUUUACUUACAGAUAUGCCUGCCCUUUACUUCUGCAUGUGCAUCGAUUUGGAUGACAACGAACUGGAGAUCCUUGAAAUCAUUCAUUAUUAUAUUGAGACAUUGGACCAUUAUUUUGUAAGUAUGAGUCAGGUCUUCUAAUCGUAUACUCAAGGAAUACAUAUCAAGCAUAAUUAUGACUAUAUUCUUUCAAACUUUCUUACUCUUUUCGCAUUUUCAGCUUUGUGAGCUGGAUUUGAUCUUCAAUCUUCAUAAAAUACUUUCUUGCAUCUCCUUGCACGGAGCAUGUUAUUUGUAUCUCUUUGUUUUUCGCAUCCUUUGUUGGAUGAGAAUCUGAUUGCUGGUGAACUUCAAGAGUCGAGCAAGAGAACUGUUGCGGUAUGUGUCGCCGCACAAGUGCUUACACUAUGAGCGAUGACAAAUUAUUCUCAUAGUGGAAAUUACAAAGGAAAAAGGAAUCACGAUGUUGGUUCUCUUGAAUUUCUGUAAGGACAAAAUAGUGUUUUUCUCAGUAUCGAUCAUUCAAGUAUCUAAUUCCUUGCCAUGCUGCCUUUCCUUAGUAUCUCUGAAUAGUAAGAAAGGGAAAAUUCUUGGACCCCAAUCAUGCGACUCUAUGAUCCACAUGUAACUCUGCCAAUUAUCAAGCACUACGGAUGGAGAAGCACCGUGUUGAUCAAGUAGUUAAUGUGCAUAUUGUCACAUAUUUGGGAAACCAGCUGAUGUUACUUGCAGGGUAAUGACUGUUCUUUAGCAGGUCUAUUUUGCUCUGCAGGGUUCACUGGUUGAAACAGCAAAAGACCAGGCUGGUUUGAUGAGCAAUGCGAUUUGCAUAGGCCAUCAAGUAGAGAAUAUUAUGGUUUCAUGGUGCUCAUUUUCUUUACCUUCACCUCAUUUGAAUGGGACACAUUAGUGUUGCCUCUUUAUUCUUCUUUCUUUUUUGGCUUAUUUGUUUCCUUCUCUUUUGUUCUGCCCGGCAUGUUUGAAGUAAUAGUUAUAUUAUUCCAUUAAUUCUUUCUAUCAUUUAUCUCCAAUCUUGGUACUAAAACCUAGACUAAACUGAGGCUUCUGUUCUUUGUGCAAAACCAGUUUCAAGUCUUGCAUGAAAGCCUUUUGCGACAUUCCUUCAGUUUUGCCUCCAUUGCUGACAUUUUCAGCAUGAAGGCAAGCAGAAAUGCUUCAAACUUGUAUUGAUAUAUGUUAGGCCCUGUUUG